AGUGAACGCUGGCGGUAGGCCUAACACAUGCAAGUCGAACGGCAGCACAGUAAGAGCUUGCUCUUACGGGUGGCGAGUGGCGGACGGGUGAGGAAUACAUCGGAAUCUACUUUUUCGUGGGGGAUAACGUAGGGAAACUUACGCUAAUACCGCAUACGACCUACGGGUGAAAGCAGGGGAUCUUCGGACCUUGCUCGAUUGAAUGAGCCGAUGUCGGAUUAGCUAGUUGGCGGGUUAAGGGCCCACCAAGGCGACGAUCCGUAGCUGGUCUGAGAGGAUGAUCAGCCACACUGGAACUGAGACACGGUCCAGACUCCUACGGGAGGCAGCAGUGGGGAAUAUUGGACAAUGGGCGCAAGCCUGAUCCAGCCAUACCGCGUGGGUGAAGAAGGCCUUCGGGUUGUAAAGCCCUUUUGUUGGGAAAGAAAAGCAGCAGGUUAAUACCCCGCUGUUCUGACGGUACCCAAAGAAUAAGCACCGGCUAACUUCGU
RNAcentral lists this ribosomal RNA (491 nucleotides) under uncultured bacterium. RNAcentral describes it as "partial 16S ribosomal RNA". It matches the Rfam family "Bacterial small subunit ribosomal RNA", at positions 29 to 506 of the family's 1533-position model. The record is from RNAcentral.